AACGAACGCUGGCGGCAUGCCUAACACAUGCAAGUCGAACGAUUGCCUUCGGGUGAUAGUGGCGCACGGGUGCGUAACGCGUGGGAAUCUGCCCUUAGGUUCGGAAUAACAGCUGGAAACGGCUGCUAAUACCGGAUGAUAUCGCGAGAUCAAAGAUUUAUCGCCUGAGGAUGAGCCCGCGUUGGAUUAGGUAGUUGGUGGGGUAAAGGCCUACCAAGCCGACGAUCCAUAGCUGGUCUGAGAGGAUGAUCAGCCACACCGGGACUGAGACACGGCCCAGACUCCUACGGGAGGCAGCAGUGGGGAAUAUUGGACAAUGGGCGCAAGCCUGAUCCAGCAAUGCCGCGUGAGUGAUGAAGGCCCUAGGGUUGUAAAGCUCUUUUACCCGGGAAGAUAAUGACUGUACCGGGAGAAUAAGCCCCGGCUAACUCCGU
This 434-nucleotide ribosomal RNA is filed under the name uncultured bacterium. RNAcentral's name for it is "partial 16S ribosomal RNA". It matches the Rfam family "Bacterial small subunit ribosomal RNA", at positions 29 to 506 of the family's 1533-position model. The record is from RNAcentral.